This is an RNA transcript of Oncorhynchus kisutch (coho salmon), 6790 nucleotides long. It is a transcript of the gene named protein Hook homolog 3-like, with no coding region annotated. The transcript has 23 exons. NCBI's taxonomy places the organism in Eukaryota, Metazoa, Chordata, Actinopteri, Salmoniformes, Salmonidae. The record is from RefSeq and is a predicted model, not a curated record.
CAUUUUUUUCUGAUAAAUAAGAGCGAUCUCUGUGGAUUAAAUUGAACUACAAAUACGAUGAGUACCUUGAAUUCUGUGGAUCGAGUUGAACUGUGCGACAGCCUUUUAACAUGGAUCCAGACGUUUGGAUUGGAGGCACCAUGCAGAACAGUGGACGAUCUCACAAGUGGGAUCGUCAUGGCCCAGGCCCUACAAAAAAUAGACAUCGUGUAUUUCACUGACAACUGGAUCAGUAGGAUCAAGCCCGAGGUGGGAGAUAACUGGCGGCUAAAGAUCAGUAAUCUAAAGAAGGUGUUGAAAGGUAUACUGGACUACAACCAGGAGGUCCUUCAACAGCAGAUCAAUGACUUCACCCUGCCAGACAUCAACCUGAUAGGAGAACACUCAGACGCUGCAGAGCUGGGCAGGAUGCUGCAACUCAUACUAGGCUGUGCUGUCAACUGUGAACAGAAACAAGAAUACAUCCAGACCAUAAUGAUGCUGGAGGAAUCUGUUCAACACGUUGUCAUGACAGCCAUUCAAGAGCUAAUGAGCAAAGAGUGUCCUGUAAUGGGAGGAAACGACUCGUACGCUGACAUCGAUAGACAGCUGAAGAAGACGGUGGAGGAUUUGAACGAGGCUCUAGCCACCAAGGAGGAGAUCGCACAGAGAUGUCACGAGCUGGACAUGCAGGCUUUCCAUGUACAGGAGCAGCGAGAUAGACUGAGGUUAGAGUAUAUUGAACUAGAGGAGAGGGUGGCAGCGCUACAGGAGGAGAGGGGUAGUCUCCUGGCUGAGAACCAGAUCCUCAUGGAGCGUCUCAACCAGUCUGACUCCAUAGAAGACCUGAACAGCCCUGUAGGACGUAGACACCUGCAGCUGCAGACACAGCUAGAACAGCUCCAGGAGGAGACCUUCAGGCUGGAGGCAGCGAAGGAUGACUAUCGUAUCCGCUGUGAGGAGUUGGAGAAGGAGCUGACAGAGCUGAGAGGACAGAAUGAAGAGCUCACCUCCCUGGCUGACGAGGCCCAGACACUGAAGGAUGAAAUGGAUGUACUCAGACACUCGUCAGACAAGGUGUCCAAGCUGGAGGUCAUGGUGGAGUCGUAUAAGAAGAAGCUGGAGGACCUGGGAGAUCUGAGGAGACAGGUCAAGCUGUUGGAGGAGAAGAACACUCUGUACAUGCAGAACACUGUCAGCCUGGAGGAAGAAGUACGCAAGGCCAACACCACGAGAGGACAGCUGGAGUCCUACAAGAGACAGGUGGUAGAGCUGCAGAACAAGCUGUCUGAGGAGUCUAAAAAGACAGACAAGAUGGAGUUUGAAUACAAGAGACUCAAGGAGAAGGUGGACUCUCUCCAGAAAGAAAAGGAUCGGAUGAGGUCAGAGAGAGACUCCCUAAAGGAGACCAUUGAGGAGCUGCGUUUUGUUGAGGCUCAGGAAGGACAACUGUCUACAGGCAUGGUUCCACUGGACAGUAACGAGGGCUCUGAUUCGCUGGCUGCAGAGAUCGUCACCCCAGAGAUCCGAGAGAAGCUGAUCAGACUACAGCAUGAGAACAACAUGCUGAAGCUGGCCCAGGAGGGUUCUGAUAAUGUGUUAGACAGUAAUGUGGGUAAUGUGGUGGUCCUGUGUUCCAGAGAGAAGCUGAUCAGACUACAGCAUGAGAACAACAUGCUGAAGCUGGCCCAGGAGGGUUCUGAUAAUGUGUUAGACAGUAAUGUGGUGGUCCUGUGUUCCAGAGAGAAGCUGAUCAGACUACAGCAUGAGAACAACAUGCUGAAGCUGGCCCAGGAGGGUUCUGAUAAUGAGAACAUCGCUCUGCUGCAGAGUUUACUGGAGGACGCUAACAGUAGGAAGAACGAACUGGAGACCGAGAACAGACUGGUGAACCAGAGACUGAUCGAGGGUCAAAGUCAGGUGGAGGAGCUGCAGAGGAGUCUUCAGGAACAGGGCUCCAAAGCAGACGAUGCGAUUUCAAUCAUUCUGAAGAAGAAAAAUGAUGCUCACAUGGAGAAGUUAAGGGAAGUGAACAGUGAACUGCAGAAGAAGUGUGCGCACAUCGAUGACUUGGAGCCCAAGUACACCUCUAGUUCCCAGAAAGUAGAGGAACUGGAAGAGGCGUUAAAGAAGAAGGAUGAAGACAUGAAGCAGAUGGAAGACAGAUAUAAGAAGUACCUGGAGAAGGCAAAGAGUGUUAUCCGGACCCUGGACCCUAAGCAGAACCAGGGCUCGGCACCAGAGGUCCAGACCCUGAAGAACCAGCUGCAGGAGAGGGAAAGGAUGCUGCACUCUCUGGAGAAAGAUUACGACAAGACCAAGGCUCAGAGAGACCAGGAGGAGAAACUCAUAGUGUCUGCCUGGUACAACAUGGGCAUGGCUCUCCAGAAGAAGGCAGCAGAGGACCGUCUGGCCAGUACGGGUUCCGGACAGUCCUUCCUGGCCCGCCAGAGACAGGCUACCAGCACACGCCGCUCCUACCCCGGAUACCCGGGACCCCAGUCCGCCACCGCUAGGUAGACAGGGCGCCGUGACUCUUCAACCCGACCUUUGACCUCCGACCCUUCCAGGCCAGGUACCACCACGGCCAGUGAUGACAUUACAUGACCAGCGCAGGCAGGGGUGAUGGGCGGGUGCAUGACCAUGGCUUAAUAAUGAGUCGAGCUGAAAAUAACCCUUCAUCAAUUCAACACUAACCCUCAACUCUAACGGAGGACGGGCCGGGCGGGCGGGCCCAGAUUAUGCCCAGGACUGGGUGGGGUAAGGGCUCUCUACAGACCCAGACGGCGCCGCCCUCUCAGAGGCCACCCUAACCUACCGCCCCCUCCUCCUCCUCCUUCACUCACAGACCUGCAUCUGCUUGCGAACCUCUAUCGUCAUGACAUACUCUGAGACAACAACAGUAGUCUCUAGUGGGGUAACGGGGAGAGCUGGAGCUAGGGAUAAACAAAACAAAAACAUGCUGUGUCCAAGGUCAAGGAAACCUCUUGUUCUAAAUGUGUGGUGCAAAGCGAGGACUACAUGGAAGACAGUGUUAUUCUUAGUGACCGGAUGGUUUUCUGUAGACUUUGACAAUGACGAUGAUCAAGCGACUAGCAACACAUGGUUACUGUACUGUAAACCUGGUGUGUAUCUGUUGGGUGUUCCACCCACUUCUCUCUCUUUGUGUUUCACUGGGUCUGAGAGGAAAAGAGCAAUAUCAUCAUUUAUUUCACAUGAUCCUCUAAUCAAAUGUGUAUAUACUGAGUGUACAAAACAUAAGACUCUGGACUCUACAAGGUGUGGAAAGCGUUCCACAGGGAUGCUGGCCCAUGUUGACUCCAAUACUUCCCACUGUUGUUCCAAGUUGGCUGGAUGUCUUUUGGGUGGUGAACCAUUCUUGAUCCACACGGGAAACUGUUGAGAGUGAAAAACCCAGCAGGGUUAAAGUUCACGACUCAAACCGGUGCGUCUGGCACCUACUACAAUACCCCAUUCAAAGGCACUUUAUAAUGUUGUCUUGCCCACGUUCAAAAUCCUUCUGUAACUCCUCCCCGUCAUCUACCCGGUGUCCCAUGUCUGAAUCAGACCCUGGUGUCCCAUGUCUAAAUCAGACCCUGGUGUCCCAUGUCUAAAUCAGACCCUGGUGUCCCAUGUCUAAAUCAGACCCUGGUGUCCCAUGUCUAAAUCAGACCCUGGUGUCCCAUGUCUAAAUCAGACCCUGGUGUCCCACGUCUAAACCAGACCCUGGUGUCCCAUGUCUAAAUCAGACCCUGGUGUCCCACGUCUAAACCAGACCUGGAUUCAAACUCACUUCCAGAGUUGAGUUGGAGUGCUCUAUGUCACGGAAAGAGCAGGUGUUCUUAAUGUUUUCUACACUCAGUCUACAUCUAGAUGUUCAGUUUCCAUGUAUUUCUGUUUAAGUGUUCUGAUGACUUAACCUCUAUGUAAGGAGUGCUCUGCUUCUUUAUUUCACUGAUAAUAACCUUGAUGUGUCUCUCUAAAUGGUGGAGGGUAUUGGUAGAAGAGAUCACAUGCUUCUAUCUAGCCUGUAUGACUUUGAAAUGUAUUCCUGUUUUAUUUAACAUACAUAUGCAGUAUUGACUUAGAUUCAUACAUUUCCUACAUUGUAUAAAAUGUGUAAAACCUUUCUCUAACCUUUUUAUAAAACAAGUAGGCUUGUUGAUAGGAUGCCAUGGCAGAGCCUUUUUGAAAAAUACAGCAAGAUGGCCGAUGCAGUAAGACUGCCCUGUCCCGGGUCGUGGUUCAUUAGCUGAUGGCCCACGCAGUAAGACUGCCCUGUCCCGGGUCGUGUUCAUUAUCAGAUGGCUCACGCAGUAAGACUGCCCUGUCCCGGGUCGUGGUUCAUUAGCUGAUGGCCCACGCAGUAAGACUGCCCUGUCCCGGGUCGUGGUUCAUUAGCUGAUGGCCCACGCAGUAAGACUGCCCUGUCCCGGGUCGUGGUUCAUUAGCAGAUGUCCCACAUAGUAAGACUGCCCUGUCCCGGGUCGUGGUUCAUUAGCAGAUGUCCCACGCAGUAAGACUGCCCUGUCCCGGGUCGUGGUUCAUUAGCAGAUGUCCCACAUAGUAAGACUGCCCUGUCCCGGGUCGUGGUUCAUUAGCAGAUGGCCCACGUAGUAAGACUGCCCUGUCCCGGGUCGUGGUUCAUUAGCAGAUGGCCCACGUAGUAAGACUGCCCUGUCCCGGGUCAUGUUCAUUAGGCACCAAACGUUAGAAAACGGACUGAAAUGGGGAAGUUCUACCUCCACCUGUCCAGUAUAAAACACUCAUUUUAGUACGAGAACAAACACACGUUUUCAUUUUUUAUUGAACCUUUAUUGAACUAAGCAAGAACAAAUUCUUAUUUACAAUGACGGCCUACCCCGUUCAAACCUUCCCCUAGACCGGACGACACUGGGCCCGGGAUCGAACCCGGGUCUAUAGUGAUGCCUCUAGACCCGCUGCGUCACUAAUGGACCACUAACCAAUGGACAGACGGGUAGAAGUCAAAGAGGAUCUUUCCUAUCAUGUUAUAUCAUGAACAUGUUGAAAGUGUUUUCGCCUCGAGUGUAAAAACCAAACCGGUGUGAGUAAGAGUAGACUUAUUGACUUGUUGCUGAUACUGUGUGUUUUUCAGUUUAUAAUAAAAGGAUGUGUCCAUAUUAUUAUGUAACUGAUGAACUUUGUAUGGCUGUUACUACUUGUGUUAAAUACUAGUCUCCUGACAUGUGGUGAUAUGAUUGGUAGGGCAACGUGUUACUACUUGUGUCCCAGAUCAGUUAGUCUCCUGGCCUGGUCCCAGAUCAGUUAGUCUCCUGGCCUUGUCCCAGAUCGGUUAGUCUCCUGACAUGUGGUGAUAUGAUUGGUAGGGCAAUGUGUUACUACUUGUGUCCCAGAUCAGUUAGUCUCCUGCCCUGGUCCCAGAUCGGUUAGUCUCUUGGCCUGGUCCCAGAUCGGUUAGUCUCCUGGCCUGGUCCCAGAUCGGUUAGUCUCCUGGCCUGGUCCCAGAUCGGUUAGUCUCCUGGCCUGGUCCCAGAUCGGUUAGUCUCCUAGCCUUGUCCCAGAUCGGUUAGUCUCCUAGCCUUGUCCCAGAUCGGUUAGUCUCCUAGCCUGGUCCCAGAUCGGUUAGUCUCCUAGCCUGGUCCCAGGUCGGUUAGUCUCCUAGCCUGGUCCCAGGUCGGUUAGUCUCCUAGCCUGGUCCCAGGUCGGUUAGUCUCCUAGCCUGGUCCCAGGUCGGUUAGUCUCCUAGCCUGGUCCCAGGUCGGUUAGUCUCCUAGCCUGGUCCCAGGUCGGUUAGUCUCCUAGCCUGGUCCCAGGUCGGUUAGUCUCCUAGCCUGGUCCCAGAUCGGUUAGUCUCCUAGCCUGGUCCCAGAUCGGUUAGUCUCCUAGCCUGGUCCCAGAUCGGUUAGUCUCCUAGCCUGGUCCCAGAUCAGUGUGUGCUGUCUUGACAAGUGAUCUGGGACCAGGCUAGUGUUCUACACAGGACAAUAAACCUCUAGCAUAGUUACACCAGACUGAAUGUUUCAAACAAUGGUGAGCGUAAUGUUCAAUCUGGCUUUCCUAGAGAGGCUAAAAAAACCUCUAGGAGAAAAUACAACUUACAGGCUUUUCAGUCAGAACUUAAUCGCCGGGUUUUAUGGGUGCUGUAUUUUUGAUUCAUAGGAAAGACUUAUUUUACAUUAAAAAAUAAAGUAGCAAAUAACCUUUCCAUUUGCCAAGUUUUACAUUGCUGCUUGUAUAAUAUGUAUAUAUAUAUAUAAUAUAUAAUAUGUAAUAUAUAAUAUAUAUAUAUAUAAUAUAUAAUAUGUAAUAUAUAAUAUAUAUAUAUAAUAUAUAAUAUGUAAUAUGUAAUAUAUAAUAUGUAAUAUAUAAUAUGUAAUAUAUAAUAUGUAAUAUAUAAUAUAUAAUAUGUAAUAUAUAAUAUGUAAUAUAUAAUAUGUAAUAUAUAAUAUGUAAUAUAUAAUAUGUAAUAUGUAAUAUAUAAUAUGUAAUAUAUAAUAUGUAAUAUGUAAUAUAUAAUAUGUAAUAUAUAAUAUGUAAUAUAUAAUAUAUAAUAUGUAAUAUAUAAUAUGUAAUAUAUAAUAUAUAAUAUGUAAUAUAUAAUAUGUAAUAUAUAAUAUGUAAUAUAUAAUAUAUAAUAUGUAAUAUAUAAUAUAUAAUAUAUAAUAUGUAAUAUAUAAUAUGUACACCCUGUAUGGGACUAACAAACAGUGGAGGAGGACAUUAGUGGUCAUAGUUACCUGUCCAUUUUGAACCUUGUUGAUAAAAUGUGCUUCCUACGCUCUGACAUGUACAGCUGUUAACCAAGUUGUAAUAAAGCUAAACAACACAG